UUAGGCUAUAAUCUUGUCACAACAGUAAACGAAUCGGGUUCAGACCUGGUCAGUAGUUAGAUGGCAAUCCACAUUGGAGAAGCUAGGUGCAGCCGAAG
RNAcentral lists this ribosomal RNA (98 nucleotides) under Gopherus agassizii (Agassiz's desert tortoise). The record is from RNAcentral. Lineage: Eukaryota; Metazoa; Chordata; Testudines; Testudinidae.